CCCACUGCUAUCGGGAUAGGACUAAGACAUGCUAGUCAAGCGCUCUUUAGCUAUGAAAAGAGUGCGGCGCACAGCUCAGUAACACGUGGCUAACCUGCCCUUGGGACAGAGACAACCCCGGGAAACUGGGGCUAAUCCCUGAUAGGUGAAGAACUCUGGAAUGAGUCUCCGCCCAAAAGGCGCUUACAUCAUGCUUGUAGGCGUUGCCCAAGGAUGGGGCCGCGACCGAUCAGGUUGUUGGUUGAGGUAACGGCUCACCAAGCCAUUGACCGGUACGGGCCGUGAGAGCGGGAGCCCGGAGAUGGGCACUGAGACAAGGGCCCAGGCCCUACGGGGCGCAGCAGUCGCGCAAACUUUGCAAUACACGAAAGUGUGACAGGGCUAUCCCGAGUGCCGCCCGCUGAGGGUGGCUUUUACUCAGUAUAACAAGCUGGGAGAAUAAGGAGAGGGCAAGACUGGUGUCAGCCGCCGCGGUAAUACCAGCUCUCCGAGUGGUGUGGACGUUUAUUGGGCCUAAAGCAUCCGUAGCUUGCUGAAGAAGUCCUCUGUUAAACCCAACGAAUUAAUCGUUGGAGUGCGGGGGAUACUGCUCGGUUUGGAGGCGAUAGAGGCAGACGGUAUUUCCGGGGUAGGAGUGAAAUCCUAUAAUCCCGGGAAGACCACCAGUGGCGAAGGCUGUUUGCUAGAACGCGCUCGACGGUGAGGGAUGAAAGCUGGGGUAGCGAACCGGAUUAGAUACCCGGGUAGUCCCAGCUGUAAACGAUGCAGGCUAGGUGUUUGGGCGGCUACGUGCCGCUCUAGUGCCGCAGGGAAGCCGUUAAGCCUGCCGCCUGGGGAGUACGAUCGCAAGGUUGAAACUUAAAGGAAUUGGCGGGGGAGCACCACAAGGGGUGAAGCUUGCGGUUUAAUUGGAUUCAACGCCGGA
Molecule: ribosomal RNA, 925 nt
Filed under: uncultured archaeon
Lineage: Archaea
Description: bacterial SSU rRNA
Rfam family: Archaeal small subunit ribosomal RNA
Source: RNAcentral